AUGCAAUGGCCCGAUCCCGGUCCACCGCAACCUCACCUCCUGGGUUCAAGCGAUUCUUGUGCCUCAGCUUCCCAAGUCGCUGAGAUUACAAGUGUGCAUCACCACACUCGACUAAUUUUUGUAUUUAUUUUUUGUAGAGGGGUUUCACCAUGUUGGCAAGGCUGGUCUCGAACUCCUAACCUCAAGCAAUGCGCCAGGCUUGGCCUCCCAAAGUGCUGGGAUUACAGGCACCAGUCUCCGCGUUCUGCAGCACAGCUGAGAUUUGCAUCUGAGUCUCCAGGUGGCUUCUCAGGGUUGACAGAACUGAGCACCGGAAAGGAGCACUUUACAUGGCAGCAGAAGGAGGUCAGCGCUCCCCCCACUUCUCCAGCGCCGCGUGCGGAGAGACAAAGAAAUUGAUUUUCCAAUCGAUGCUCUGAGCAAUGAUUAAAUGUUCUCUGCACAGCGGGCCUAAUGAGUCCCCAAGGGGCGUGCCGGCCCUUUAAUUAGAGACUCCCACGGGGGCCUGGGAUGGGGGCUGCCCUGGAGUGAGGGGGUCCAGUCAGGGAGGAGGCCCCAUCCCCAGGGAUCGGUGGCCUGGGCCUCUGAGAGAUAUUGUCUGGGGGCCCCUCGGUAUAGAGACACAGUGGAGGGUUCCCUGGGCAGGGGGACCCCAUAGAGUAGCUCCUGGGCUGAGAGGUCCCGUGGAGGAGCCCCUGAUCUGAGCCCUCGAGGAAGAACCUGGGCUACAGGAAUGGAGGCUGGAGGCCCCCAAGUGAAUGCACAGAUUCACCCACGUGAGCAUGAGCCAGGUCUGCACCCCCUCGCCCCAACCAGAGGACAAACUCAGGCCAAGGCCUCCCUGUCCUCUGCCCACCAGCAUCCAGGCAGCCAGCAGUCCUCUCUGUCAGUUCAGCUCCCCCAUUGGCGGCGGCGGCGGAGACCCAGACAGGAAAUGAAUCCCCUGUAAGCGGCUGCUGCGUUCUCCUCACCCAGCUGCCCCAUUGGAGAAGCCUACUGAAGACUUUAGAAAUUCAAAUGAGGCUCUCGGGGGAGAGCGGGUCUUAAACAUUCCCCUGCGAAGGCGGCUUUAUUGAAGGAAUAAACUAUAUUUGCAAAGUAAGAUAUUGAGGCUGUCAGUUUCUCUUAGGGAUAUAAUGAGAUCCUGGGAGGGAGGGAGGCCGGCAGGAUGGAGCUCCCAAGGGCGGGAGCCCCAGCGAGGAGCUGGAGUGAGAUGCCCCGCUGGGCCAGGCGGAGCCCCGCCCCACUGCUACUAGCGCCACUAGGAGCCUAACAUCCCCCUCAAUCCACCAUCCCACCUCCCCUGGUCAGAGCUGCUAAGGGAUGGAGGCCCGUGUGGAGGCAGGAAGAUAGAAUGGCUCUGCCAAGCCCUGGAAACCCCAAGACAGUGGAGCCCCUGCAAGUCUCCCGCCCAACUUACCCACCAGCUCUGCCCCAUGGAGGGAGCUCUGCUCAGGAGACAGGAAGAGAGAGCAGGGAUGGAGCUGAGACUCUGAUGUUGGGCUGUGGCUGAGUCUGGGCUCUCCUAAUUUUUUAUUUUUAUUUAUUUAUUUUUUUUAUUUUUUGAGAAGCAGUCUUGCUCUGUCACCAGGCUGGAGUGCAGUGGCGCGAUCUUGGCUCACUGCAAUCUCUGCCUCCCAGAUUCAAGCGAUUCUCCUGCCUUAGCCUCCUGAGUAAUGGGGAUUAUAGGCGUGUGCCACCACACCCAGCUAACUUUUGUAUUUUUAGUAGAGAUGGGGUUUCACCAUGUUGGCCAGGACAGUCUCGAUCUCCUGACCUCGUGAUCCACCUGCCCCAGCCUUCCAAAGUGCUGGGAUUAUAGGCUGAGCCACUGUGCCCAGCCAAUUUUUAAUUUUUUAAAAAUAGAGAUGUGUUCUUGCUAUGUUGCCCAGGAUGGUCUCAAACUCCAGGGCUCAAGCAAUCUUCCCACCUCAGCCUCCCAAAGUGCUGGGAUUACAGGUGUGAGCCACGGUGCCUGGCCAAGGUUCUGCUAUUUUGUGAGCUGUAUGACCUUGGGCACAUUAUUUAACCUCUCUGUGGCUCUGCUAUCUCAUCUCUAAAAUAUUAGUACCUAUCUCAUGAUUGUUGG
This 2089-nucleotide long non-coding RNA is filed under the name Macaca fascicularis (crab-eating macaque). RNAcentral's name for it is "lncRNA (ENSMFAG00000065656.1)". Lineage: Eukaryota; Metazoa; Chordata; Mammalia; Primates; Cercopithecidae. The record is from RNAcentral.